CUGGGAACGUCUAACGAGACUGCCGGUGUAAACCGCGAGGAAGGUGUGGAUGACGUCAAAUCAGCACGGCCCUUACAUCCAGGGCUACACACGUGUUACAAUGGUCGGUACAGAGGGCAGCUACCAGGCAACUGGAUGCGAAUCUCAAAAACCGGUCUCAGUUCGGAUUGGAGUCUGCAACCCGACUCCAUGAAGCUGGAUUCGCUAGUAAUCGCGCAUCAGCCAUGGCGCGGUGAAUACGUUCCCGGGCCUU
This 253-nucleotide ribosomal RNA is filed under the name uncultured Alkaliflexus sp. RNAcentral describes it as "partial 16S ribosomal RNA". It matches the Rfam family "Bacterial small subunit ribosomal RNA", at positions 1131 to 1382 of the family's 1533-position model. Lineage: Bacteria; Pseudomonadati; Bacteroidota; Bacteroidia; Marinilabiliales; Marinilabiliaceae. The record is from RNAcentral.